ACCUGCCGAAAGGCAGACUAAUACCGCAUGUUCUUCGAUGACGGCAUCAGAUUCGAAGCAAAGAUUCUUCGGUAACGGAGGGGGAUGCGUCUGAUUAGCUAGUUGGCGGGGCGACGGCCCACCAAGGCGACGAUCAGUAGGGGUUCUGAGAGGAAGGUCCCCCACAUUGGAACUGAGACACGGUCCAA
This 188-nucleotide ribosomal RNA is filed under the name uncultured Bacteroidales bacterium. RNAcentral describes it as "partial 16S ribosomal RNA". It matches the Rfam family "Bacterial small subunit ribosomal RNA", at positions 146 to 334 of the family's 1533-position model. Lineage: Bacteria; Pseudomonadati; Bacteroidota; Bacteroidia; Bacteroidales. The record is from RNAcentral.